GAGCGUCAGGAAGGAGGCCCGAGGACCGGACGGAGUUGGAAGUCUCCGUGACAGGGAGUCAGUGGCCAAGGGAUUCAGGCAGCUUUCAUUCUCCAGACUCUGAAAGGAGCUCACCCCAGCCGGUCAGCCCUGCACAUCUGACGUCCAGAACUGUAAGACAAUACAUCUUUGGGUCCUUCACCACACUGUCUACCUGGGACUCGUGCUUCAGGAAGAAAGGACGGAUGAUGCGCUUGUAGAGCAGCUCCGCUCCAUUAGAAGGGCUCGGGGCCAUACACCACAACAGGAAGCCGCACUGCAGGGAGGAAGAACAGGCUCAGUGAGGCCAGAAUCACUCUUCUCCACGCCCAAGUGCAGGCCCCGACACUGCACAAGAUGCAAGAGGCCCCUGGGAGGAAUGCCCCAGUGCGGCAGCCUAGCAGUGCGGAGAUGUUCCUCAAUGUAGAGCGGACCGUGGAGGAGGUGCUGAGGCGGCUCUCAGAGAGGAUCUCCUCGACAAGCAGCCCGAAAGUACGGAGGACCACAGACACCACUGAGGCUAUGCUUGAGAAGAUUUUCUCCACGGUGGGAGAUACUAAUAGGCGCGUUGCAGCCCUUGAGGGUAAAGUGGAAAGACUGCUUCUUCUGUCUUCACCUGCACCUACAAAUGUAACUCCAGGGACGGCUGAAUUUUGCCCCACGUUGAUGACACCACAGCCGCUACCUGUGCCCAGCCAGAAGCCACAGCCUAGAUAAUGGGAUUUUGAGUGAGGAAAGCAAAGGAAGGGAAAGUGGCCACAACAGAGAGGGAAGGGUAAAGAUGAGACUACUACAAGUAUACAGCAACACCACAAACGUGAACGGGCAAGCACAGACUCCAACCCGCCCUCACAGUGCCGACCCAGCUGUUAAGGGUCCCAUGAAGCCAGUGCCUUCAACUACCCUCAGUAUGCAUGGGGAGUUCCAUGUUUACUGUUAAUUUUCCCAGCUACUUGGCUCCAGCCUCUCUGUCUGGCCAGCAAGCAGAUCUCAGGAAACUAAAAGAUGCUGCCAAAGGGAACCAGAGUGGCACAUUUGCUUUAACACACAAUGAGAACAAAGGGACUGCAUUUAUUACUGGCUGCACCUUUCCUUUCCUCUGCCUAGUGCCAGGUGAAUUUCAGUGGACCCUGCAGACCAUCUCCCUAGUUCCCUAUGGAAGACUAAGUUUUCAUACCCAAGCUUCCUGCUUUUCCACGAUCGCUUUUAUACAGGAUAUGCUUAUACAUACACACCCAAACUCAGCAUAGUAAACAAAAUGUUGAGGUAACAAUUUUGACAAAACACCAGAACUCCUCAUGGGCAUUUUGAAGAGCACGAACAGUGCCAAGGGGUUGUAGUCACAAAGCAGUAGUAUCCUACCAACGCUAUUGACUAUUUGACAGCAGUUAGUUUUAACAUCUAACAUCCCAAUAUAUUUGCUACCUAAAUAUGUUUUUGCUAUGCUUUAUUAUAUAGGAAACUGGUUAGGAGUUUUAGGCCAUAGAACACAUUUAAAUUUUUCUCACUUACAAUGAAGGAGCCAGUGCAGUGGUAUGUGCUCAGCUACUUGGGAGGCUGAGGCACCUGAGCCCAGGAGUUUCAGGCCAGGAUGAGCAACAUAGCAAGACCCCUUCUCAAAAAACUGGUAUUCCUCCACAGAAUGUCUGACUUGCAGGAAUGGAUUAUUCAUGGACAGACACCCACCCACAUCAGAACCACGAGCAUCAAAGUGAGGUGAAAAUGGGCCAGGGACUUAGCUCAGUGGUUCCGCUGCCUGCCUCGCAAGCACAAGGUCCCAACUUCGAUCCCUGGUACCAAAAAAAAAAGUGAAGUGAAAAUGACUCAAUGGAUCAAUAACUGGAAGCUGGGGUCUGUUUUGUGACUACUCAACUCAACCUAAGCGUUAAUUUUCUCUUCCGUAGGGUUUUAGCAAAGUCACAAUUCAUGUAUUUGAAGAAAGUCUAUUAGCAGUAGUGUUACCCUUGAAACAUCUGUCUAUGUAGGUCCCCACCCUUCACCAAUCCAGCCACACUGAUUAUCUUUUCUGGCUGAGCUGAGGCAAGACUUCCAAACAGGGCAGGGUCGGCAUUUACAUCUGUGAAUCUCUUCAGUGUGGUUACUUGGUAGGCUACAUGCCAGAUAGUUAGCUUACUACUUUCUAGUACCUCUAGCUAUUAUCUUGAGACAGUUAAAUAAUUACUGUUCUCUACCGACAUCCUUAGCACUUUCCAGUUCUCAAGUGAAAUUACUUUCUUAUAUUAAUAAAGUUAAUUACUGUUCAA
Molecule: non-coding RNA, 2282 nt
Organism: Heterocephalus glaber (naked mole-rat)
Lineage: Eukaryota; Metazoa; Chordata; Mammalia; Rodentia; Bathyergidae
Source: RefSeq, a predicted model, not a curated record